AGUGAACGCUGGCGGUAGGCCUAACACAUGCAAGUCGAACGGCAGCACAGUAAGAGCUUGCUCUUACGGGUGGCGAGUGGCGGACGGGUGAGGAAUACAUCGGAAUCUACUUUUUCGUGGGGGAUAACGUAGGGAAACUUACGCUAAUACCGCAUACGACCUACGGGUGAAAGCAGGGGAUCUUCGGACCUUGCGGGAUUGAAUGAGCCGAUGUCGGAUUAGCUAGUUGGCGGGGUAAAGGCCCACCAAGGCGACGAUCCGUAGCUGGUCUGAGAGGAUGGUCAGCCACACUGGAACUGAGCCACGGUCCAGACUCCUACGGGAGGCAGCAGUGGGGAAUAUUGGACAAUGGGCGCAAGCCUGAUCCAGCCAUACCGCGUGGGUGAAGAAGGCCUUCGGGUUGUAAAGCCCUUUUGUUGGGAAAGAAAAGCAGCAGGUUAAUACCCCGCUGUUCUGACGGUACCCAAAGAAUAAGCACCGGCUAACUUCGUG
RNAcentral lists this ribosomal RNA (492 nucleotides) under uncultured bacterium. Its description in RNAcentral is "partial 16S ribosomal RNA". It matches the Rfam family "Bacterial small subunit ribosomal RNA", at positions 29 to 507 of the family's 1533-position model. The record is from RNAcentral.